Molecule: small nuclear RNA, 107 nt
Organism: Vombatus ursinus (common wombat)
Lineage: Eukaryota; Metazoa; Chordata; Mammalia; Diprotodontia; Vombatidae
Source: Ensembl
GUGCUUGCUUCGCAGCACAUAAUACUAAAAUUGGAAUGAUACAGAGAAGAUUAGAAUGGCACCUGCACAAAGUUGACACUCAAAUUCAUGAAGCAUUCCAUAUUUUU